CAGCGACAAGAAGACGGCAGUGACUGCCCUCCUCCGUAUGGUCUGCUCUCUCUCUAACCUAGUAAAAAAAUUCUCCUUGGUCUGGUUCUCCCUUGAUUUCUUCCUUCUUGGAGAUUGAUGCUUACAAAUUGGAUUGUAAAAGUUCCUCCUCCGUCUCUUUAUUUAGACGUCUGCACGCUUAUGCUUUCUAAGCUCUGAGAUUGAUAGAAAUUUAAUUAGCUUGACUCUGGACAACGGGAUGCUGAAAGGAACUGCUGACGAGGGAGAUUAGAAGAAGCUGGACGGCAAUGGGAUUCUUAUCAAAGAAAAGAGAAGUAGCACAAGGCUCCUGAGGAGGAAAACACAAGGUUAUCUUCUUUGAUCCAGCCAAAGGUGGUAGCUCUGUCUCUUCUCUGCUUUAGAUUAAUCGUCCCUUCCUUUCUUUGAGCCUUACUGACUUUCGAUGAACUGGACUAGUCCCUCUUUAAUCAAUUAAUUUCUCAUGGAAAGAAGAUAAAGUGAAAUUUAAUUGGAGGGUGCUUAAUUAGUUGUUCCUCUUUCCUGAUGGAAGCUGCAUCAUUUUUUUGAGGAGAGAACUCCUAUUCCAGUGUAGGCUCUCUACUUGCUACAGGGGAGAAAGAAAUUAAAUAGGGUUAAUCAAGUAUGAUGACAUGUCUACCUGUGUUUAAUUAAACAUGAUGGAUUGCUUACUUGUAAUUUGUAGCUAUUAGGUUGGAUGAUGAUUUUCUCAUAUAAUUAGUAGUUGUACGUUGGUAGUUUUUUACUGCGUAUUUGACAACAGGAGAAAAUUAAACUCCAUGUAUAUGUAUCAAAAGAUACAGAAACAUUAAUGCUCCACAAUUUAUAAGAAAUAUGCAUGUGACUGCCUGCAUGCUUGAUGCUUCUUUUUGAGACCGGCAAUGCUUGAUGCUUCUUUUUGAGACCGGCAAAAGCUAGCUAGCAUAUAUAUAGUCAAAAAGGGGCAUACCAUCUAGAACAAAAGGUAGGCAUGAUGCUCUGUGUCUUUCUUUAAUUGGUACUAAUUAAUUCUGAAGCUGCAGAGGUGUCAUUCUUUUGUUUUGGUUGCCUGAUGCUUCCUUUCUGUCCUCAUUAGAUAUCCAAGCUGCUGAGGUGACACAUACUAUACUGUUGGAGAAAUUGUUGUGAAGCUUAGCUUGUAUGAGAGUCACAGUGAAGCUGUGGUGUCCUUUUUAAGCUAACAAGGAUAAAAAGUAAGUUACCCUUGUACAUUUGCAAGUAAUUUGUAGAAGGCUGCAUGCAACUUGCGCAGUUUGUAUCUGUGGACAAAACUGACAUUUCAUUGGAAAAUGUAGCAUGGCUGAUGUGGUUGUGCAUGACUCACUUCAUACCAUGAUAUGACAUUAGUUCAUCGAAAAAUAGAAGAGACCUGGACUCUGUCUCAGUAUUUAGUUUCUUCUCGUAUGUUGCUUGUGGCCAUCUUUUUUUUUUUUUUAUUAGCACCCCAAUUUUUUCCCACUGAGAAACAUUGUUUUGACAUUUCUAGUUUGAGGAUAUUCCCCGCUUCAUUCUUUUGGAAGGAAUGAAGCAUGAAUUUUAUUUAUCCAAGUACAGAAAAUGCCAGUACAAUUUAGUGAUUAUCAUUUAGUUGCCUUUCAGAGCCAAUGAGUUCUCUUAUCUUUAUCUAAAAUAUAAUGGAGCACCAAAUUUAUGAAGGCUAAUUGGCUAAUUAAUCAAAAGAAAAGAAGAAAGUGAAAUAAUAUUUUGUUUGUAAAAUAUUACAGCAUGCAUCUUUAUGAUUUUGUUUUUUAUCAACAUGUGUUCCAUGGCUUUAUGGCAGAUUUGAAAGUGAUAUGCUUGCCUUUAGGGUGUUACUAUGGGGCGGAGGAAAGGAGAGGAGAGAGCAAGGUGCCGUUUGCAUGCGAUGCAAAACUUACAUGUAUGAAUAGUUUCACAUCUCAAUACUUAGAUACUCCCUCCGUCCCAUAAUGUAAGACGCUUUUUGACACUACACUAGUAUGAAGUAGUUCGCAAGCAAAGAUGAGUUGAUUCCAUAUUUCCAUACAAGCCCUCAAUGUGCUCUUUCCAUAUUUCCAUACAAAAGGCAAAUUCUAUGCCAACCCUGCUGCGUGUAUAUGUGAAGAGACUAAAGAUGACCCCUCUAGUACAGGAGGGAAGAAUUCCAAAGAUGAUCCCACCGGGACAGAAGAGGUGAUUGAUAUUGGGGCCGGCGGUGAUUCUUUGGUCAGAUUGGAGGUUUGUGAGUUGGAGGUCAUCCUGAUUAGUUGAGAUAUUUUGCAGCUCAGAGGAAUUAGUUAAAGUUAUUUGCGUGCUAGUGGUGUAUGUGGUAUACUAAAAAUUCAGAGAAUUUCUGAUUUUAUUUGAAUGGAUUUUGGUGUAUGCAUGAACUGUACUUCUUAAUAUAGUGGAUCUUAUUUUGUCUUGCAAUGUGUUACUAAAUUUUCGUUGGAAACAGAGAAUUUCAGAGUCUUUUCUCUUUAUUUCC
Molecule: long non-coding RNA, 2464 nt
Filed under: Triticum aestivum (bread wheat)
Lineage: Eukaryota; Viridiplantae; Streptophyta; Magnoliopsida; Poales; Poaceae
Description: long non-coding RNA (TAES_LNC024686)
Source: RNAcentral